RNAcentral lists this ribosomal RNA (1355 nucleotides) under uncultured bacterium. RNAcentral's name for it is "bacterial SSU rRNA". It matches the Rfam family "Bacterial small subunit ribosomal RNA", at positions 18 to 1394 of the family's 1533-position model. The record is from RNAcentral.
CCUGGCUCAGGACGAACGCUGGCGGCGCGCCUAACACAUGCAAGUCGAACGAGCGAGAGAGAGCUUGCUUUCUCAAGCGAGUGGCGAACGGGUGAGUAACGCGUGCGGAACCUGCCUCAAAGAGGGGGACAACAGUUGGAAACGACUGCUAAUACCGCAUAAGCCCACGGGUCGGCAUCGACCAGAGGGAAAAGGAGCAAUCCGCUUUGAGAUGGCCUCGCGUCCGAUUAGCUAGUUGGUGAGGUAACGGCCCACCAAGGCAACGAUCGGUAGCCGGACUGAGAGGUUGAACGGCCACAUUGGGACUGAGACACGGCCCAGACUCCUACGGGAGGCAGCAGUGGGGAAUAUUGCACAAUGGGGGAAACCCUGAUGCAGCGACGCCGCGUGGAGGAAGAAGGUCUUCGGAUUGUAAACUCCUGUUGUUGAGGAAGAUAAUGACGGUACUCAACAAGGAAGUGACGGCUAACUACGUGCCAGCAGCCGCGGUAAAACGUAGGUCACAAGCGUUGUCCGGAAUUACUGGGUGUAAAGGGAGCGCAGGCGGGAAGACAAGUUGGAAGUGAAAUCUAUGGGCUCAACCCAUAAACUGCUUUCAAAACUGUUUUUCUUGAGUAGUGCAGAGGUAGGCGGAAUUCCCGGUGUAGCGGUGGAAUGCGUAGAUAUCGGGAGGAACACCAGUGGCGAAGGCGGCCUACUGGGCACCAACUGACGCUGAGGCUCGAAAGUGUGGGUAGCAAACAGGAUUAGAUACCCUGGUAGUCCACACCGUAAACGAUGAUUACUAGGUGUUGGAGGAUUGACCCCUUCAGUGCCGCAGUUAACACAAUAAGUAAUCCACCUGGGGAGUACGACCGCAAGGUUGAAACUCAAAGGAAUUGACGGGGGCCCGCACAAGCAGUGGAGUAUGUGGUUUAAUUCGACGCAACGCGAAGAACCUUACCAAGUCUUGACAUCCCUUGACGAACAUAGAAAUAUGUUUUCUCUUCGGAGCAAGGAGACAGGUGGUGCAUGGUUGUCGUCAGCUCGUGUCGUGAGAUGUUGGGUUAAGUCCCGCAACGAGCGCAACCCUUACUGUCAGUUACUACGCAAGAGGACUCUGGCAGGACUGCCGUUGACAAAACGGAGGAAGGUGGGGAUGACGUCAAAUCAUCAUGCCCUUUAUGACUUGGGCUACACACGUACUACAAUGGCGUUAAACAAAGAGAAGCAAGACCGCGAGGUGGAGCAAAACUCAGAAACAACGUCCCAGUUCGGACUGCAGGCUGCAACUCGCCUGCACGAAGUCGGAAUUGCUAGUAAUCGUGGAUCAGCAUGCCACGGUGAAUACGUUCCCGGGCCUUGCACACACCGCC